RNAcentral lists this ribosomal RNA (299 nucleotides) under uncultured bacterium. RNAcentral's name for it is "partial 16S ribosomal RNA". It matches the Rfam family "Bacterial small subunit ribosomal RNA", at positions 28 to 334 of the family's 1533-position model. The record is from RNAcentral.
GACGAACGCUGGCGGCGUGCCUAAUACAUGCAAGUCGAGCGGAGUGUGAAAGGAAGCUUGCUUCCUUUCACACUUAGCGGCGGACGGGUGAGUAACACGUAGGCAACCUGCCCUCAAGCCUGGGAUAACUACCGGAAACGGUAGCUAAUACCGGAUAAUGUCGUAAGACCAAAGAUUUAUCGCCCAGGGAUGAGCCCGCGUAAGAUUAGGUAGUUGGUGAGGUAAAGGCUCACCAAGCCGACGAUCUUUAGCUGGUCUGAGAGGAUGAUCAGCCACACUGGGACUGAGACACGGCCCAG